UACGGAGGGGGCUAGCGUUGUUCGGAAUUACUGGGCGUAAAGCGCACGUAGGCGGACCAGAAAGUCGGGGGUGAAAUCCCGGGGCUCAACCCCGGAACUGCCUUCGAAACUAUUGGUCUGGAUUCGAGAGAGGUGAGUGGAAUUCCGAGUGUAGAGGUGAAAUUCGUAGAUAUUCGGAGGAACACCAGUGGCGAAGGCGGCUCACUGGCUCGAUACUGACGCUGAGGUGCGAAAGCGUGGGGAGAAACAGGAUUAGAUACCCCUGUAGUC
This 270-nucleotide ribosomal RNA is filed under the name uncultured bacterium. RNAcentral describes it as "partial 16S ribosomal RNA". It matches the Rfam family "Bacterial small subunit ribosomal RNA", at positions 524 to 795 of the family's 1533-position model. The record is from RNAcentral.